AUAAAAAAUAAAAAAGUGGUAUUAUCUUGUUUGAUUUCUUCAGCUUUCAAGACACCUAUGAGAUCUGCCUGUGUUAAACUAUUGACACAUCCUGUUGUAUACAGUCAGGACAUCGGUGCACAGCUAUCAGAGGCUGUAAAGAUCCCUUUGAGACAUGUGGGUGGUAAAAUAUUGACACAUCCUGUAGCAUACCGUCAGGACAUUGGUGCACAGCUAUCAGAUAUGUGUUUUCUCAGAGGAUUUUCAGUGCAGACCAGUCCUAGCAUCAGCCAUCCCCUCAUCAGAUGAUGAACCCCUGAGCUGUGCUCAGUUGUAUACACCCUCAUCACCACAGCCAAAGAAGAAGAAGAAGCAGAAGAAGCUGAUACAUAACAGAGCGGCGAUUCCAUUAUCAAGGGAGACGCAGACCAUUGAUAAUACAUGCUCUUCUGAGACACAAACACCUCGGGAGCCAACGACAAGAACAAUUGCUACACAGACGAAGCGGUGUAUUCAAACCGUCCCCAAGAAGGCCAUUAAAAGAACCGUGAAAGCCUCACAGGAGCCAAC
This is a long non-coding RNA of Pseudoliparis swirei, 549 nucleotides long. RefSeq lists it as uncharacterized. The record is from RefSeq and is a predicted model, not a curated record. The transcript has 5 exons. NCBI's taxonomy places the organism in Eukaryota, Metazoa, Chordata, Actinopteri, Perciformes, Liparidae.